Molecule: ribosomal RNA, 465 nt
Filed under: Vreelandella stevensii
Lineage: Bacteria; Pseudomonadati; Pseudomonadota; Gammaproteobacteria; Oceanospirillales; Halomonadaceae
Description: partial 16S ribosomal RNA
Rfam family: Bacterial small subunit ribosomal RNA
Source: RNAcentral
CCUACGGGCGGCAGCAGUGGGGAAUAUUGGACAAUGGGGGCAACCCUGAUCCAGCCAUGCCGCGUGUGUGAAGAAGGCCCUCGGGUUGUAAAGCACUUUCAGUGAGGAAGAACGCCUGGUGGUUAAUACCCAUCAGGAAAGACAUCACUCACAGAAGAAGCACCGGCUAACUCCGUGCCAGCAGCCGCGGUAAUACGGAGGGUGCGAGCGUUAAUCGGAAUUACUGGGCGUAAAGCGCGCGUAGGUGGCUUGAUAAGCCGGUUGUGAAAGCCCCGGGCUCAACCUGGGAACGGCAUCCGGAACUGUCAAGCUAGAGUGCAGGAGAGGAAGGUAGAAUUCCCGGUGUAGCGGUGAAAUGCGUAGAGAUCGGGAGGAAUACCAGUGGCGAUGGCGGCCUUCUGGACUGACACUGACACUGAGGUGCGAAAGCGUGGGUAGCAAACAGGAUUAGAUACCCGUGUAGUC